This 137-nucleotide ribosomal RNA is filed under the name Salmonella enterica. RNAcentral describes it as "partial 16S ribosomal RNA". It matches the Rfam family "Bacterial small subunit ribosomal RNA", at positions 1 to 131 of the family's 1533-position model. Lineage: Bacteria; Pseudomonadati; Pseudomonadota; Gammaproteobacteria; Enterobacterales; Enterobacteriaceae. The record is from RNAcentral.
AAAUUGAAGAGUUUGAUCAUGGCUCAGAUUGAACGCUGGCGGCAGGCCUAACACAUGCAAGUCGAACGGUAACAGGAAGCAGCUUGCUGCUUUGCUGACGAGUGGCGGACGGGUGAGUAAUGUCUGGUAAUGUCUGG